This is a long non-coding RNA of Ornithodoros turicata, 1805 nucleotides long. RefSeq lists it as uncharacterized. The transcript is spliced from 3 exons. The record is from RefSeq and is a predicted model, not a curated record. Lineage: Eukaryota; Metazoa; Arthropoda; Arachnida; Ixodida; Argasidae.
CGGCUGGCGAAGGUAAGGGCUGCGAAACUGUGUCGUCGCACAGGCUUCGAAGGCGACACCACUGCUUGGGUGCUUUGAUAUCUUCAGCUCCGCUCACCGGCUUGUCUCGCAGUGCUAGUGAUAUCGCGAACGAAAAAAUGAUGCUGCACCUCACAUACAUGAAACUUGAAGGCCUGGUAUCCCUUGGUAGCCCUGGAACUGGAACAAAGCACUGCUGAACGUCCACCGACUUGCGUGCCAGGUUGCUUUUUGCGGCUCGUGGAAUAUGACGUGCUCAAGCUGACCAGUAAUGGAGUUGACAAAUUUCGCUUCCGUUGUCCUUUAAACAUACCUAGGCGCAUCUCUGGAGACAACGGUCCACUGAAAGCACCGAAUGGAAGGAGAGCGACUUCGGCUAACGUCUGCUACCUUCUCCAGCGUUGUGAUGUUCCUGCAUGGCACUCGGCAGACGACAACACGUGGAGGACGUCGUUACUUUGUUGGUCUCGGUGCCAUCGCUCGGCCUCCUUCUCUUGCUUCUUAAGUCCUACCGACGCACCUGCCAGGCAGGGAAGGGUAACGCUAAUGGUAACGGAAACAGAAACGGUAUAUUACCGAAAUUAGAGAUAGUAACGAUAACGGAAACGGAAACGCAUACUACUGUCCUCCAUUACCAGAAACCGAAACGGAAACGAAAAAUAUCGUCCGGUAUUGAAUUCGGGUAAUGGCUGUUACUGUUGUGCAAUGACAUUUCAUCUACUUUUCAUUUUAUUUUUGUAUUCUGAUGACUCCAUUCCGUGUAAGGCUCUAAAUACUACACGAGAGCAUGGAAACGAAGCGCAAUAUUGGAUAUCGAGGGUGCAUCACUCGCUUACCUACUCGUGACAUUACCUACAGACAUACAUGACAUACAUGACCUGAGACCGACCUACAUGACAUGAGACUUCCACGCACUCUACUCCACCACAGCACGAGGAUGAUAGACUAUAAUUUUUUCAAUUCUAUUUUUGUUUUUUAUUUGCACCGUGCCUAUGGCAGUAUUUGUUAGUACUGAGGGCGUCCGCCUACGGAUGCGACAUUGGAUGAAGGUUACGCCCACCUUGGACUACGCGUGACUGCAUAGAGAAGGCUAGCUGAAGACAUGUUCCACCUUUUCUUUAAAAAUUUUGCAAGAUGUGCGCAUCCCAACGACGUAAAAUUACUUGUGUAGUGUGUACGUGUGACAGCGAAGCAGCACCUGGGCAAAACAGGGUGUUGACAGAGCCGGACGGACCGUCCUUCCGCAGCUCUGUAACAUCAGUUCCAUUACCGGAAACAAUAACGGAAACGUAACGGAAACGAAAUUUACAAGCUGGUAUCAGAAACGGAUAACGGAAACGAAAAUAUAGCGGUAACGAAAAUAGAAACGGUAACCAAAAUACGUCCGUUACCCUUCCCUGCUGCCAGGCUACCCGAAUCGCAGUUCGCUACGACAAUCCAACUUUUACCAUUGUCCUUCCCAUGAGCCAUCCCCCAACGACGUAUCGUUCUCAUUCAGUUCUGCGUGUGGCAUUGGGUACCUCCGUGUUAGCCCUAUUAUAAAAACAUUCAGUGGAGUAUUAAAGGUGCACCUAUGUGACUUUCUGUUCUUCGCUGUGGCGAGUUAUCCAACGAAUAAAAUGAGUUCCUGCGAAAGAACGACAAGUGCGUCAGAUGACCUACAGCACGCUUGCGAGGGAACGUCGUGACGUAACGUGGUCCCCGAGCACGUGACUCGUGAUGUAGGGCGGCACAGCUCAAGCAGGCGCGUGAGCUGAGAAGAAAGAAAAAAAAAGCACGAGGACUUU